AUUGAACGCUGGCGGCAGGCCUAACACAUGCAAGUCGAACGAGUGGCGGACGGGUGAGUAAUGUAUGGGAAACUGCCUGAUGGAGGGGGAUAACCACUGGAAACGGUAGCUAAUACCGCAUACCAUCAGAUGGGGCCAGAUGGGAUUAGCGAGUUGGGGGGGUAACGGCUAACCAAGGCGACGAGCCCUAGCUGGUCUGAGAGGAUGACCAGCCACACGGGAACUGAGACACGGUCCAGACUCCGACGGGAGGCAGCAGUGGGGAAUAUUGCACAAUGGGCGCAAGCCUGAUGCAGCCAUGCCGCGUGUAUGAAGAAGGCCUUCGGGUUGUAAAGUACUUUCAGCGGGGAGGCGUUACCCGCAGAAGAAGCACCGGCUAACUCCGUGCCAGCAGCCGCGGUAAUUC
RNAcentral lists this ribosomal RNA (406 nucleotides) under uncultured bacterium. RNAcentral describes it as "partial 16S ribosomal RNA". It matches the Rfam family "Bacterial small subunit ribosomal RNA", at positions 29 to 526 of the family's 1533-position model. The record is from RNAcentral.